RNAcentral lists this long non-coding RNA (861 nucleotides) under Coturnix japonica (Japanese quail). Its description in RNAcentral is "lncRNA (ENSCJPG00005008394.1)". Lineage: Eukaryota; Metazoa; Chordata; Aves; Galliformes; Phasianidae. The record is from RNAcentral.
ACUUGAUAGAAGUUAGAUUGAAUUUAUUUCAUUAUACCUAAGAAUCAAUUGAUAUAACUUGAACUGUAAUUUGCCUUUUUUUUUUUUUUUUUUCCUCAUCAGAUGAAACCUUUUUACCAGGGUCAUUUCUAAUUGUAGGACUUGUGCUUGUAGAAGAAAAUAAAUGCUUUGGAGCACAACUGGGAUUUUGCUUAUAUCUAGAGUGUGAUGAAAAGGGUGAAAAAGCAGGGGAAAUGAAGGCCCUAUCACCACCUCUUCCAGUAAGGCUUGUACAACAGACUGAUUAAAUGAGAAAGGGAAAAUUAUACUAGUCUAAACAUAGUCUCCUCAUUCAAGUUUUUAACAGAGUUGCAACAAAUUCUGAGCUGCCCAGGAAUUGCCAAGAUAUGACCUUUUUAAUUCUUCAGACAAUGGGGAAAAAAGAUCAAUCUAAAAAGGCUUCAGGGGCUCCUACCAUUUUCUAAGAUGUGAAAUGGCUGCAAUGAGAAAACUGUCCAUAUCUGCAUAAUUCAUACCAGUGAAAGCAGAUCUACAGACAUUUAGUAGCAAUCAAUCACUUAUACUUGCUGUACUAUGUUAUCAAAGCAAAAGGAAAGAUGCCCAAGAGAAAUCCAUCUGACAUUUCAAAGUAGACACGGCCAAAGUAUGUUCACAAGUUUCUCAUCAAGAAUUACGAGACAUGCAUUUGCCCAUCAAAUGAACCAGACUGACAGGCAUUUCUAAAGAUACAGAUGUAAUCUAUGGGGAGAUAAAGUCAAGAUUUAUUGCAUUUUGAGGAGCGUUGAUUGGUGCUCUUUUUCUGUGGAUUUUGUUUAUUUAUUUGUUUGUUUUAAUAAACAAAUAUAUGUCAGCUUAAGAUCA